AGCGAACGCUGGCGGCAGGCUUAACACAUGCAAGUCGAGCGGGCACUUCGGUGUCAGCGGCAGACGGGUGAGUAACACGUGGGAACGUACCCUUCGGUUCGGAAUAACGCUGGGAAACUAGCGCUAAUACCGGAUACGCCCUUUUGGGGAAAGGUUUACUGCCGAAGGGUCGGCCCGCGUCUGAUUAGCUAGUUGGUGGGGUAAUGGCCUACCAAGGCGACGAUCAGUAGCUGGUCUGAGAGGAUGAUCAGCCACACUGGGACUGAGACACGGCCCAGACUCCUACGGGAGGCAGCAGUGGGGAAUAUUGGACAAUGGGCGCAAGCCUGAUCCAGCCAUGCCGCGUGAGUGAUGAAGGCCUUAGGGUUGUAAAGCUCUUUUGUCCGGGACGAUAAUGACGGUACCGGAAGAAUAAGCCCCGGCUAACUUCGUG
This 433-nucleotide ribosomal RNA is filed under the name uncultured bacterium. RNAcentral's name for it is "partial 16S ribosomal RNA". It matches the Rfam family "Bacterial small subunit ribosomal RNA", at positions 29 to 507 of the family's 1533-position model. The record is from RNAcentral.